UUUUUAGGAAUCCAAGGCAGGCCAACAUAUUGAAAUAAUAGCUACAAAACUCCUAACCUUCUUUGGGGGUCAUACACAGCAUACUAUACUUGGGAAUGGCAUUCUGACACAUUUAUUACAUAAUAAUGCUAUUAUAUGUAAUGCUAUUCUGACACAUUUGUUAGGUAACAUUAAUGGCUUUGAGUGGGACUUAGAACAAGAAAAGGCUCUGAAACAGAUCCAAGAUGUUGUUUGAGCCAUGCAACUAGAAGAUCUCAUAGAACUAAAGUUAUCUAAUUUACAGAAAAGGUUUUACGUGACGUCUAUUGUACAGAUUCAUAUGAAAACCAUAGUUCAAACUCCAAGGUUUAAGAAGUAAGAAAGAUCAUGCCAUUUGCAACAAACAUGCAUGCAUAUUUGAAAAGCAACUGUAAGUAUGCUAUUGGACAUUGGUAAAGAUUGAAUAUCUGACCAUGGCAUAUCAAGAAACCAUGGAAUGAGUACUGCUUAUCAAGAUCUGGGUGUGAGAAGACUUAAAAAGUCAGAUAGUCAGUGAGAACCAGCUAGAAUCCAUGAAAUUGUGACCAAUAAGAAUCCCAGAGAAGUUCUGCCCUAAUGGAGUCAACUUGAUUUGAGAUGCAAAUAGAUUUGCGCAAUUGAAAAAGUGGGAAGAUGAAGUGUUUGGAGGGCUUUUAAAUGGAGUAAAAUGGAAACAAAGACAAGUUAUCCCAACACCAAAAAGAGUAGGGGAUAGAAGGAUAUGUCAAGGUUUGAAAACCAUCCUUCAGAAAUGCAGGAAAGUCAAAGCUAGAAAUUUCUUUUAUGGUACCCAGGAUUUGUUUUAAUUAAGUUUGAUAAGGCACACAGGCACGAACGUGAUUGUGGUUAAUAAAGGCAUUUGCAUUAUUCUCACGGUCUCCUAAAAAUAGAAGGCCCAGCACACUAUGCCUGGGAAGUAUCUGCAUGAGAUGAGCAGGCAGAGAGGAGAGCUGAGGGCAGGGCCUUGACUGGAGUUUUUGUUGGGAGGAAUGGACAAUGGAAAGCACGCAAGCCAAAUCUGUUGUGGGAAAACUAGAAGACCAAAAAAAGCACGAAAGUCAAGAAAGAAGUCUCUUUUCACAUGAAAGUGGCUGUGCUAAUGGUCUAUCAAGAUAUCCUGAGUUUCCAGUAGAGAUGUUUCAGCCAUAACACAGGCCUGGUAGAAAAAGCCUGAAGACAAAUACUGCUAUGAAUGGUUACAUCUAGGACUUCUGAAAUUAGCCCCAGAUUCAACUCAUUUUUUUCUGCAUUUGCUGAGCAAUAUGACAUGUUUACACCGAUUAGCUAAAAAGUUAUGUGAAGAAUGGGCAACAAUAUCUCUAA
RNAcentral lists this long non-coding RNA (1341 nucleotides) under Homo sapiens (human). RNAcentral describes it as "HSALNT0318916". Lineage: Eukaryota; Metazoa; Chordata; Mammalia; Primates; Hominidae. The record is from RNAcentral.